RNAcentral lists this ribosomal RNA (484 nucleotides) under uncultured bacterium. Its description in RNAcentral is "partial 16S ribosomal RNA". It matches the Rfam family "Bacterial small subunit ribosomal RNA", at positions 29 to 507 of the family's 1533-position model. The record is from RNAcentral.
AGUGAACGCUGGCGGCAGGCCUAACACAUGCAAGUCGAGCGGCAGCGCGGGGGCAACCCUGGCGGCGAGCGGCGGACGGGUGAGGAAUUCGUCGGAAUCUGCCUUUUUGUGGGGGAUAACGUAUGGAAACUUACGCUAAUACCGCAUACGUCCUCCGCGAGAAAGUGGGGGACCGCAAGGCCUCACGCAGAAAGAUGAGCCGACGACCGAUUAGCUAGUUGGUGGGGUAAAGGCCCACCAAGGCGACGAUCGGUAGCUGGUCUGAGAGGAUGGUCAGCCACACUGGAACUGAGACACGGCCCAGACUCCUACGGGAGGGAGCAGUGGGGAAUAUUGGACAAUGGGCGCAAGCCUGAUCCAGCCAGGCCGCGUGUGUGAAGAAGGCCUUCGGGUCGUAAAGCACUUUUGUCCGGAAAGAAAUCCCUGGAGCUAAUACCUUCGGGGGAUGACGGUACCGGAAGAAUAAGCACCGGCUAACUUCGUG